This 279-nucleotide ribosomal RNA is filed under the name uncultured bacterium. RNAcentral's name for it is "partial 16S ribosomal RNA". It matches the Rfam family "Bacterial small subunit ribosomal RNA", at positions 506 to 784 of the family's 1533-position model. The record is from RNAcentral.
UGCCAGCCGCCGCGGUAACACGGGGGGCGCAAGCGUUAUUCGGAAUUAUUGGGCGUAAAGCGCACGUAGGCGGAUUUGUAAGUUAGGGGUGAAAUCCCGGGGCUCAACCUCGGAACUGCCUUUGAUACUGCAAGUCUAGAGUCCGAGAGAGGUGAGUGGAAUUCCUAGUGUAGAGGUGAAAUUCGUAGAUAUUAGGAAGAACACCAGUGGCGAAGGCGGCUCACUGGCUCGGUACUGACGCUGAGGUGCGAAAGCGUGGGGAGCAAACAGGAUUAGAUA